Small nuclear RNA from Macaca fascicularis (crab-eating macaque), 104 nucleotides. The record is from Ensembl. Lineage: Eukaryota; Metazoa; Chordata; Mammalia; Primates; Cercopithecidae.
GUACUUGUUACAGCAGCACAUAGACUAAUACUGGAAUGAUGCAGAGAUUAGCCUGACCCUUGUACAAGGAUGACAUGCAAACUCAUGAAGUCUCCCUUUUUUUU